This 478-nucleotide ribosomal RNA is filed under the name uncultured bacterium. RNAcentral's name for it is "partial 16S ribosomal RNA". It matches the Rfam family "Bacterial small subunit ribosomal RNA", at positions 29 to 507 of the family's 1533-position model. The record is from RNAcentral.
AAUGAACGCUGGCGGCGUGCUUAACACAUGCAAGUCGAACGGGAAAUAUUUCAUUGAGACUUCGGUGGAUUUGAUUUAUUUCUAGUGGCGGACGGGUGAGUAACGCGUGGGUAACCUGCCUUAUACAGGGGGAUAACAGUCAGAAAUGGCUGCUAAUACCGCAUAAGCGCACAGAGCUGCAUGGCUCAGUGUGAAAAACUCCGGUGGUAUAAGAUGGACCCGCGUUGGAUUAGCUAGUUGGGGGGGUAACGGCCCACCAAGGCGACGAUCCAUAGCCGGCCAGAGAGGGUGAACGGCCACAUUGGGACUGAGACACGGCCCAGACUCCUACGGGAGGCAGCAGUGGGGAAUAUUGCACAAUGGGGGAAACCCUGAUGCAGCGACGCCGCGUGAAGGAAGAAGUAUCUCGGUAUGUAAACUUCUAUCAGCAGGGAAGAUAGUGACGGUACCUGACUAAGAAGCCCCGGCUAACUACGUG